UGGUGUUGAGGCAUAUGUGUAAGCAUC
RNAcentral lists this non-coding RNA (27 nucleotides) under Rattus norvegicus (Norway rat). Lineage: Eukaryota; Metazoa; Chordata; Mammalia; Rodentia; Muridae. The record is from RNAcentral.